CGGGAAUAUUGCGCAAUGGAGGAAACUCUGACGCAGUGACGCCGCGUAUAGGAAGAAGGUUUUCGGAUUGUAAACUAUUGUCGUUAGGGAAGAUAAAAGACAGUACCUAAGGAGGAAGCUCCGGCUAACUACGUGCCAGCAGCCGCGGUAAUACGUAGGGAGCAAGCGUUAUCCGGAUUUAUUGGGUGUAAAGGGUGCGUAGACGGGAAAUUAAGUUAGUUGUGAAAGCCCUCGGCUUAACUGAGGAAUUGCAACUAAAACUGGUUUUCUUGAGUGCAGGAGAGGUAAGUGGAAUUCCUAGUGUAGCGGUGAAAUGCGUAGAUAUUAGGAGGAACACCAGUGGCGAAGGCGACUUACUGGACUGCAACUGACGUUGAGGCACGAAAGUGUGGGGAGCAAAC
Molecule: ribosomal RNA, 401 nt
Filed under: uncultured bacterium
Lineage: Bacteria
Description: bacterial SSU rRNA
Rfam family: Bacterial small subunit ribosomal RNA
Source: RNAcentral